Molecule: long non-coding RNA, 1698 nt
Filed under: Pan troglodytes (chimpanzee)
Lineage: Eukaryota; Metazoa; Chordata; Mammalia; Primates; Hominidae
Description: long non-coding RNA NONPTRT007960
Source: RNAcentral
AGCCGGUGGUUCAGGUGGCCGGUCGGGCUGGAAGGGCGGGGAUGAGGGAUGGGACGCAUCCCGGGGGAUGCUCCUCCAAAGCUUUUAUCGGGCGAGCGCAGUGGCUCACGCCUGUAAUUCCUGCACUUUGGGAGGCUAAGGGUCUCACUCUAUUGUCUAGGCUCGAAUGCAGUGACGUGAUCAUGGAUCACUGCAGUCCUCAACUUACUGGGCUCAGGAUGAAAGGCUUCCUAGCACAAACACCACCCCUGGAGUUCCCGGUACAUCAAUACCAGCCUGGGGAUCACGUUCUCAUCAAGAGUUGGAAGAGGGAAAGCUUGAGCCAGCUUAGGAGGACCUUAUCUGGUACUCUUGAUGAACGAAACAGCAAUCUGAAUGGCUGAAAAAGGAUGGACCCAGCAUUCCAGGGAGAAAACUUGGCAUUCUUUGGGAAUCUAACAGGAUGCAGUGAACCCAAGCCUUUUCAAGAGCUCACCAAUCAGACUGCCCUUGUCUAUCCAUGAGCAGAUGUUUGAUAGUAUUGCGGAGGACCUCUAGUGGGUAUGCUGCCAAGCAACUGGAGUGGCACUUGGGCUCUAAUCCAGUUGUCUAUCCCUUUCACCCUGGCAUUUCAUCAGCCAAACAAAAACCAACUAACUCAGAAAAAAAGGAAAUCCCCUCAAGGGUCCUUUGACCCCGAUAUCUACAUAGAUGCUAUCGGGGUCCCCUGAGGGGUACCAAACGAAUUCAAAGCUCGAAAUCAAAUAGCUGCUGGAUUCAAGUCUGUCCUUUUCUUGUGGUCUACUAUAAAUAAAAAUGUAGACUGGAUAAAUUACAUAUACUAUAAUACAACAACGAUUUGUCAGUUACACCAGGGAUGCCAUUAAAGGAAUAGCUGAACAAUUGGGUUUCACCAGCCAAAUGGCCUGGGAAAAUAGAAUAGCUCUUCACAUGAUAUUAGUGGAGAAAGGUGAAGUCCAAUGUUGUACCUGUAUCCCCAAUAAUACAGCCCCUGAUGUAACUAUCACUAAGGGUCUAUAAGGCCUCACCACUCUAGGAAAUGAACUAGCUGAAAAUUUGGGAAUAAAUGAUCCCUUUACAGGUGUAAUGGAAAAAAUGGUUUGGUAGAUGGAAAGGACUAAUGGCCUCUAUUCUCACUUCCCUUGUGAUCAUAAUAGGGGUGCUUAUUCUCUUAGGAUGCUGUGUUAUACCCUGUGUCUGUGGACUAGUUCAAAAGCUCAUAGAAACAGCCCUUACACCAAGGCCUCCCACAACUCUCCCCCACCCUAUUCAGAUAAACGUUUAUUUCUAAACAACCAAGAAGAGCAGCGAAGCCAGAUCCUGUUAGAAGUAUAUGAAGAGGAAGGACUACAAAAUCAAAAGGGGAAAAUUAUUAGACAAAAUGAGUUGCUCUACAAAGGUCCAACUUCCUUGUCCUUUGUUCUGUAACCUUUGUUCUGUAAACUGCCCUUCCCGCAGAAACUGUCUUUCCCGCCGACCAAAACUGCCCUUCACUACCACUGUAAUCCAUACCCCUACUCUAUUUGAAACCGCCAGUCGGGAUCAGCUUACAUUGUGUGGUUCAACCACCAGCCAAUGAGGAAAAAACACAGAAGCAGAAGCUGUGAUGCAUUAGGGUUAAAAACCCCUUCCUUUCCCUGUCCAAUGUGCUCCUGAGACUGCUACAGGUGCAAGCAGCCACCUUCUGCAGAAGUAAAC